This is a long non-coding RNA of Poecilia latipinna (sailfin molly), 721 nucleotides long. RefSeq lists it as uncharacterized. NCBI's taxonomy places the organism in Eukaryota, Metazoa, Chordata, Actinopteri, Cyprinodontiformes, Poeciliidae. The transcript is spliced from 2 exons. The record is from RefSeq and is a predicted model, not a curated record.
GGUGGGAUGGUGUUCCAACCUCCCCCACUCUGCGCACCGGGUGCAGCUAGAAUCGCACCGUUGAUUGGUGGGCGGGGCAGAUGCCUAUAUAGUUGGGCAAGGUUCGUCUUUGUUUCUCCCACUGUUGCUACAAUCGGCGGCUACAUGUUGGCUUGUGUGUUUGGUCGACUCGUCUGCGAUCUGUUGUUCUGAUGGCGUUGCCGGCUGCAGCUGGGGGUUGCUGUGGCGGGCGGCUUCCAUCUGGUCCUCACCUGCUGACCCGCUUCCUCCCGGGUUAGGCUGUGUUUCCACCCCUGGAUAAGCUACCUGCUAUUUAGCUUUUGAUUUCUUUUAACUGGAUCCAUCGUUAAUGGGUUUUCUGUUUCAGGCACCUGAUUGCGUUUGGAGCUGCAGCGCUUUGGACGCUCUGCUGUCUUGUCUUGUCUUCCCGUUGUUUUGGCCGCUCUCAACUAAACCUGUUGCGGAUUGGGCAGGCUGUGUGCGCGGGGCAUUACUCCUCUGGCCCCAUCGAAGGGCAUUUGGAAGCGGAUGACAACGAUUUGUUCCAUUGUUUUCUUUUAGUUUUGUUUUGAUUGAAGUUACUAAUUUGUUUUUGUUUUUUACUAAUUUCUUCUGCAUUGCGUGUUAUUUCUUUUGGAAUAAUUGAACUUGUCUGUCCUGUUUCCUUUUCUGUUCCUUUUGUUCCAGGGACAGAGUAGUGGGCCUGAAGCCUCGUUUUUAA